Molecule: ribosomal RNA, 647 nt
Filed under: Sarcocystis sp.
Lineage: Eukaryota; Apicomplexa; Conoidasida; Eucoccidiorida; Sarcocystidae
Description: SSU rRNA
Rfam family: Eukaryotic small subunit ribosomal RNA
Source: RNAcentral
CUCAGGGAGGUAGUGACAAGAAAUAACAACACUGGAAAUUUUAUUUCUAGUGGUUGGAAUGAUGGGAAUUUAAACCCCUUUCAGAGUAACAAUUGGAGGGCAGGUCUGGUGCCAGCAGCCGCGGUAAUUCCAGCUCCAAUAGCGUAUAUUAAAGUUGUUGCAGUUAAAAAGCUCGUAGUUGGAUGUCUGCUGGAAGCAAUCAGUCCGCCCUAUUUGUAGGGUGUGCACUUGAUGAAUUCUGGCAUUUUUGUCCCAAUGAUGUAACGGAGCGGUGCUAUUGGGCGAAAGUUCAAUAGCCUGUUUUCCGAUUAUUGGGAUACUGUUACUUUGAGAAAAUUAGAGUGUUUGAAGCAGGCUAAUUGCCUUGAAUACUGCAGCAUGGAAUAACAAUAUAGGAUUUCGGUUCUAUUUUGUUGGUUUCUAGGACUGAAAUAAUGAUUAAUAGGGACAGUUGGGGGCAUUCGUAUUUAACUGUCAGAGGUGAAAUUCUUAGAUUUGUUAAAGACGAACUACUGCGAAAGCAUUUGCCAAAGAUGUUUUCAUUAAUCAAGAACGAAAGUUAGGGGCUCGAAGACGAUCAGAUACCGUCGUAGUCUUAACCAUAAACUAUGCCGACUAGAGAUAGGAAAAUGUCAUUUUGCUGACUU